CCUACGGGAGGCAGCAGUGGGGAAUAUUGCACAAUGGAGGAAACUCUGAUGCAGCGACGCCGCGUGAGUGAAGAAGUAAUUCGUUAUGUUAAGCUCUAUCAACAUGGAAGAAAAUUACGGUACCUGAGUAAUAAUCUCCGUCUAACUACGUUCCAGCAGCCGCGGUAAUACGUAGGGGGCAAGCGUUAUCCGGAUGUACUGGGUGUAAAGGGGGCUUAGACGGGAGUGCAAGUCCGGUGUGAAAGGCGGGGGCUCAACCCCCGGAGUGCUCUGGAAACUGUACGGCUGGAGUGCAGGAGAGGUAAGUGGAAUUCGUGGUGUAGCGGUGAAAUGCGUAGAUAUUAGGAGGAACACCAGUGGCGAAGGCGGCUUACUGGACUGUAACUGACGUUGAGGCUCGAAAGCGUGGGGAGCAAACAGGAUUAGAUACCCGAGUAGUC
This 440-nucleotide ribosomal RNA is filed under the name uncultured bacterium. RNAcentral's name for it is "partial 16S ribosomal RNA". It matches the Rfam family "Bacterial small subunit ribosomal RNA", at positions 338 to 795 of the family's 1533-position model. The record is from RNAcentral.